GAGUUUGAUCUUGGCUCAGAUUGAACGCUGGCGGCAUGCCUUACACAUGCAAGUCGAACGGCAGCACGGGAGCUUGCUCCUGGUGGCGAGUGGCGAACGGGUGAGUAAUGCAUCGGAACGUAUCCUGGAGUGGGGGAUAACGUAGCGAAAGUUACGCUAAUACCGCAUAUUCUGUGAGCAGGAAAGCGGGGGACCUUCGGGCCUCGCGCUCUUGGAGCGGCCGAUGUCGGAUUAGCUAGUUGGUGAGGUAAAGGCUCACCAAGGCGACGAUCCGUAGCAGGUCUGAGAGGGAUGAUCUGCCACACCUGGAACUGAGACACGGUCCAGACUCCUACGGAGGCAGCAGUGGGAAUUUUGGAUAAUGGGGGCAACCCUGGAUCCAGCCAUGCCGCGUGAGUGAAGAAGGCCUCGGUCGUUAAG
RNAcentral lists this ribosomal RNA (420 nucleotides) under bacterium enrichment culture clone ALO1_GLFRUDD03G0O98. RNAcentral's name for it is "bacterial SSU rRNA". It matches the Rfam family "Bacterial small subunit ribosomal RNA", at positions 9 to 430 of the family's 1533-position model. The record is from RNAcentral.